Molecule: ribosomal RNA, 253 nt
Filed under: uncultured bacterium
Lineage: Bacteria
Description: partial 16S ribosomal RNA
Rfam family: Bacterial small subunit ribosomal RNA
Source: RNAcentral
GACGAACCGUGCGACCGUUGUUCGGAAUCACUGGGCUUAAAGGGCGCGUAGGCGGGUUCGCAAGUCUGUGGUGAAAGCCUCCAGCUUAACUGGAGAAGUGCCGUGGAUACUGCGAAUCUUGAGGAGGGUAGGGGCGAGCGGAACUAAUGGUGGAGCGGUGAAAUGCGUUGAUAUCAUUAGGAACUCCGGUGGCGAAGGCGGCUCGCUGGAUCUUUUCUGACGCUGAGGCGCGAAAGCUAGGGGAGCAAACGGG